Molecule: ribosomal RNA, 253 nt
Filed under: uncultured bacterium
Lineage: Bacteria
Description: partial 16S ribosomal RNA
Rfam family: Bacterial small subunit ribosomal RNA
Source: RNAcentral
UACGGAGGGAGCUAGCGUUGUUCGGAAUCACUGGGCUUAAAGGGCGCGUAGGCGGGCUGUCAAGUCUGGGGUGAAAUGCCGCGGCUCAACCGUGGAACUGCCUUAGAUACUGACGGCCUCGAGGGAGAUAGGGGCAUGCGGAACUGUAGGUGGAGCGGUGAAAUGCGUUGAUAUCUACAGGAACUCCGGUGGCGAAAGCGGCGUGCUGGAUCUCUUCUGACGCUGAGGCGCGAAAGCUAGGGGAGCAAACGGG